RNAcentral lists this ribosomal RNA (829 nucleotides) under Cystoderma carcharias. RNAcentral's name for it is "partial large subunit ribosomal RNA". It matches the Rfam family "Eukaryotic large subunit ribosomal RNA", at positions 76 to 891 of the family's 3401-position model. Lineage: Eukaryota; Fungi; Basidiomycota; Agaricomycetes; Agaricales; Squamanitaceae. The record is from RNAcentral.
UCCCCUAGUAACUGCGAGUGAAGCGGGAAAAGCUCAAAUUUAAAAUCUGGCGGUCUCAGACUGUCCGAGUUGUAAUCUAGAGAAGUGUUAUCCGCGCUGGACCGUGUACAAGUCUCCUGGAAUGGAGCGUCAUAGAGGGUGAGAAUCCCGUCUUUGACACGGACUGCCAGGGCUUUGUGAUGCGCUCUCAAAGAGUCGAGUUGUUUGGGAAUGCAGCUCAAAAUGGGUGGUAAAUUCCAUCUAAAGCUAAAUAUUGGCGAGAGACCGAUAGCGAACAAGUACCGUGAGGGAAAGAUGAAAAGAACUUUGGAAAGAGAGUUAAACAGUACGUGAAAUUGCUGAAAGGGAAACGCUUGAAGUCAGUCGCGUUGGCCAGGGAUCAACCUUGCUCUUGCUGGGUGUACUUCCUGGUUAACGGGUCAACAUCAAUUUUGAUUGUUGGAAAAAGAUCAAGGGAAUGUGGCAUCUUCGGAUGUGUUAUAGCCUUUGGUUGUAUACAACAAUUGGGAUUGAGGAACUCAGCACGCCGAAAGGCCGGGUUUUUAACCACGUUCGUGCUUAGGAUGUUGGCAUAAUGGCUUUAAUCGACCCGUCUUGAAACACGGACCAAGGAGUCUAACAUGCCUGCGAGUGUUUGGGUGGAAAACCCGAGCGCGUAAUGAAAGUGAAAGUUGAGAUCCCUGUCGUGGGGAGCAUCGACGCCCGGACCAGAAAUUUAUGGACGGUUCCGCGGUAGAGCAUGUAUGUUGGGACCCGAAAGAUGGUGAACUAUGCCUGAAUAGGGUGAAGCCAGAGGAAACUCUGGUGGAGGCUCGUAGCGAUUCUGACG